UACAAUCACUACAUACAUACAGAAUCAGACACUCAAAACACACAUACAGGUGAACAUUUUAGCCACCCUCCAGUUUCCUACCUUCUGGGAGCAGGAGGGUGGCUUCUGCUGGCUGGAGUUGAUGGGAGUUCAGAGCUUGCUCCUCUCCUGGCAGCUGGAAGGGGUGGGGCUAUACCAACAGAGGUGGAGAUAUGCCGAUCAAGGGCGGCGUUAUAAGGACAAAGGCGGGGUUAUACCAGUAAGGGGGAGGAGUUAACACAUUGUG
Pelobates cultripes (western spadefoot toad) is the source of this 265-nucleotide non-coding RNA. NCBI's taxonomy places the organism in Eukaryota, Metazoa, Chordata, Amphibia, Anura, Pelobatidae. The record is from the annotation of a GenBank genome assembly.